Molecule: ribosomal RNA, 253 nt
Filed under: uncultured bacterium
Lineage: Bacteria
Description: partial 16S ribosomal RNA
Rfam family: Bacterial small subunit ribosomal RNA
Source: RNAcentral
GACAGAGGAUGCAAGCGUUAUCCGGAAUGAUUGGGCGUAAAGCGUCUGUAGGUGGCUUUUUAAGUCUGCCGUCAAAUCCCAGGGCUUAACCCUGGACAGGCGGUGGAAACUACCAAGCUGGAGUACGGUAGAGGCGAGUGGAAUUCCCGGUGUAGCGGUGAAAUGCGCAGAUAUCGGGAGGAACACCAGUAGCGAAGGCGGCUCGCUGGGCCAUUCCUGACGCUGAGACGCGAAAGCUAGGGGAGCGAACAGG